GGACUACCGGGGUAUCUAAUCCCGUUCGCUCCCCUGGCUUUCGCAUCUGAGCGUCAGGUGCUCCCCAGGACACUGCCUUCGCCUUCGGUGUUCCUCCGGAUAUCUACGCAUUUCACCACUCCACCCGGAAUUCCGUGUCCCUCUGAAGCCCUCAAGUCCCGCAGUUUUCAAAGCACUUUCCCGGUUGAGCCGGAAACUGUCACUCCAAACUUACAGGACCGCCUGCAUGCGCUUUACGCCCAAUAAAUCCGGACAACGCUUGCCCCCUACGUAUUACCGCGGCGGCUGGCAC
RNAcentral lists this ribosomal RNA (292 nucleotides) under uncultured bacterium. RNAcentral describes it as "partial 16S ribosomal RNA". The record is from RNAcentral.